UCCCCCCUCAAACCUCGGGUUUGGUGUUGGACCGACGUUGGUCGCGCCCCGACCAACUGGUCUCAAAGACAAUGACGGCGUCCGUGGGACCCUCGAUACACCGAGCUUUCUUUCCGAAGCACGUACCGAGUCGCAAGGACCCACGCCCGCCGGUCGCCCUCCCCUUUCCGGAGAAAACGCAAGUUUUUUCUUUCUAA
RNAcentral lists this unclassified non-coding RNA (197 nucleotides) under uncultured Phaeococcomyces. RNAcentral describes it as "sequence contains ITS2". Lineage: Eukaryota; Fungi; Ascomycota; Eurotiomycetes; Chaetothyriales; Herpotrichiellaceae. The record is from RNAcentral.